This 437-nucleotide ribosomal RNA is filed under the name uncultured Diversisporales. RNAcentral describes it as "eukaryotic LSU rRNA". The stretch from base 382 to 437 matches the Rfam family "Eukaryotic large subunit ribosomal RNA", at positions 1 to 56 of the family's 3401-position model. Lineage: Eukaryota; Fungi; Glomeromycota; Glomeromycetes; Diversisporales. The record is from RNAcentral.
ACAUGACGACGUGAAUCAUCGAAUCUUUGAACGCAAUUUGCACCGGGUGAUGCAUGUCUCCCGGUAUACUUGUUUGAGUAUCUGAAACACUCUCACACCCCCUUCGGGGCGGUUUGGAAAGAUUGAAAUUCUGACGUGAGUGUAUCUCGUCAGUCUUUUAAAAGUUACAUGUCUCGCUUAACCUUCGGGUGGCAAAGGAGCGUCUCUCAUUAGAGAGGUGGUGACUAUUGGGAUAAUAUCCUGACAAUCGUCCCCCUUUCAUCUCCCAACUUGGGAGCAUGAUGAGUAUGACAGCUUCUGAUAGACAUGACGGAAAUGGGUGUGUUGCCGGAAAAGCGCGCAUUCUGAUCCUCGUCUCUUUCAUCGAGUAGACCGUGAUCUGGAUCUCAAAUCAAGUAAGGAUACCCGCUGAACUUAAGCAUAUCAAUAAGCGGAGG